CCCUCCCACAUCUCUCCCCUCAGCCCUCCAGGGACAUGUGGCUUCUGUAGGCCUCCUGCUCUCGACCUGCUGGGGCUCGGGCUGUGAGGUGAGGACGUGGCCUUCCUGCGGGAGCCUCCGAGUCCUGCCCGCAGGAAUGGAAAGCUCUCACUUGAUCCCUGGCUGGAGGAAGAGUCUUAGCAAGCCGGCUGAAUGUGCAGCUGGAAGAGGUUAAAAAUUAACCCCGCAGUGAUGUGGCUGCAGAUACAUUUACCAACUUCAUUUUGAGUCCCCAAAAUGUCAAGCCUUUCCUUCACCACUCAUUUGCUGAUCUUCCUCAGAGGACACCGAUGUGCAGAGAGAAUUCAUUUGAACAUCCCUGCUGUUCAGGGACCAGUUUUGUAUCAGGUAAAGAAUACCAGCCCUUACCAACCUCCAUGAAUCAUCCCAGUGGGCUGACGAACAUCCAGCUGCUUUGUCUGUGAACCAUACAACUCAUAAAUGUCUUAUUCUCAUCCGCGACACGUUGCACCUCGUGCCCGCUGAGUGCUACCAGGCACAGUGUGGUGAGGAAACCUGACGGGUUGCGCUGGUUCUGUGGUCACUGAGGGGAGAUUUGUUGGCUCCUGCAUGCAGCUCUGCACCCAGGAUCCUGAGCUAAUUUGCCCAGUGUCAUUCUGCCUUCUGCAUGAUUCUCUUUCACAUUUUGGGCAUGGAUUAGCUUCUAGUACGGUAGGCAAAGGAGUCAACCGUGCAAGAAGUUAGAAGCAAAGACGCUGCAGCAUGUUACUAAAUGCAGAUUCAGCACAAAGAUUACCAACAUAAACCAAGAUCAGUUUGGCAAGAGGAAAACCACCCCUGCACCAGCAGCAGGAACGUGUUCACUGGCCUGUGGGUUACAAGUGCAAUGUCACAGCAAACCUGGUUAGACAAGCGCUCGCCUGGCUCCCUGACCUCUUCUACUUGGCAGGUUUUUCUUUGCAGUUUUGACUGAGACCAAUAUGGGAAUGAACAAUGGAAACUACACUGCCCCUCCAGCCUUCGAACUGCUCCCAGAACAUCCCGGUACAGGUGCGCUGGCCAGGCAAGGUGAAGGAGAGGUCUCAUCGCUCCAGCAUGCGGGAUAUCUAGCUACAAACAAAAAUUAAAAAGCAAAUGAGAGAGAACAAGGUCUCCUACCACAAAUCCACCUCCAAGGACCCUAAGAUGUGAGCGUACACAACUGUGCUUGCUUGAAGGCCAGCCUUUAGCCCUGCAUAUCCUUUAAUGUCAGCUGGAGCAACGCUGGCGUCUGAUUUGUGUGCUUGGCUCACCCGUGCAUGCAAGGCAAUGCGGUCCUUCCUCCUGAGGAGCUCCUCAUCUCCAUCCUGGGGCGUCUGAGUACCCAAAAUGGGCACAGCCUUCACAGACUCAGCAAUGAGACACCAGCUUCGCAUCAUCUUAGGGCAGAGGAGGAAGAGGACAGAGAAAGAAGCACUCAACAUUCUUCAGGACCCAAACACCCAGGAGCACCUACAGCAGAUUGCAGCGUGCACUGGUGGGCAUCUCAGAGUGGUACCCACAGGGUGGUCACAUGCCCAGGCCAUCCCACUAAUGGUGCUCCAACACAGGUCUGGCUGUUUUCCUUCUGUUGUUAAGAGUAAAGCACAUCUCAUUUGCUGCAGAAAACAAAAGCUCGGCUGGGAUCAUUACAGCUCGUGCUGCAUCCAGGCCACUGUUCGACCCCGUUUCCUUUGGGAGAUGAAGCUGGUGUGAGAGGGUCCCCUGGCGCCGAGCCCUGCUCCCCUUCCUGCCCAUCUGCUGCUGUGUGCUGUGGUGGCCUCUGCUGUGACCCCCGUCAGUGAAAUCACUGGAAGGAUUUUUGGGAGGUUACAAAGUGCUACCAGUCCCCGGUCCUUUAUGCACCACCGCAGAACCUGAACAGUGGAUAACCUGUCGUGGUUAGCUUUGCCUCAUGCCUGCGAGAUGUGGAGUCCUUUCUCCCCUGUUUGAUGCUUAGGAAAUGAAGGCACAGACAGAUCUUUUCAGAAACCAUGCGUCCUGCCCCGAGACCUGCCUAGCCCCGGUGUCAGGAGGUAAUGGGGCAGAUGCCCUCUGCUGCGCCUGACCUUUCCAAGGCAUGAGUCACUGCUGAAGUGCUCCUGGGGCGUCUGACACUUGCCACAGAAGGUGUACGGUCAGUGCCUCGGAGCAUCUCCUGUUCCUGGUGGUGCCUGUGCUGUUUUUCCCAUGAUGAUUGGGAAAUGCAUGUGGGAUAGCUUCCAUACAGGGGACCAGCUUGUGCAUUGCUGUGGGUACUUAUCACCGUCGACAGGGAAAGCUGACAUGGUAUCCCUGCUCUCUUCUGGGAUGACAUGAGGUUUCAGUGUAAGGUACAAAGGAAUGAGGUCAACCACAGGCACUGUCAGCUCUGCUUCCUCGCAAGCAGACAUCCUAAGUUAUGAAGACAAAACCCCAGGGAAGCAAGGACUCCACCAGAGAGAGGGAACAGGUGGAGGAAACAUGAAAUAUAUCCCAGCAAAUCCAUUAUGGACAAGUAUUAGCACUUCAUCUGCAACGCAUGACAUCGUAUCACUGUUCCAGCUGCUGAAUCUUUGAACCGUCUUGUGAAACUUGUUCAAAACCCCAGAGGAGGAUUUAGGCCCCGAAGCCCUCCAACCUGUUUCAGCAGGGGGUUGUGGGCAGUUCACAAUUAUUGGCAGGACGAGGCUGAUGAUCUAACGCCUGUGCUAGCAGGAAGGAGGCAGGCUGAGGCUGUUGUUUAGGACUCUUUUUAGGAAGUAUUAGUAAAGAAGAGCCUGUUUGUCUUUUUGCCUGUAAAAUACAAAGCAAGGAUGCAAAUCAAUGCACACACACACCUGUGGGUGAGUGACUUAAUGGGUUGUUGUUGCAUUAUCCAUGGCACCUGCUUGUGUAGCUGUGACACCCAGAUGUGCCUUGGGGAUUUCACUUGCUGCAAAGACGCAUCUUGUGCUGUGUGGCAUCCUUGAAAAUCCCUGUGCUAGGCAGAGCAAAUGCAAAAGUAAUGAGGAGAUGGGGGCUGAAAUGAAGAGGCUUUUGGGAAGUGGAAAGGAAGGGAAGGGAAGGAAAGGAAAAUGGUUUUGGAUGCCAUUCAGGAUAAGAUGGCUGGAUAGAGAUAGCAUGGGAGUAUUUCAGAGGAGGAAGAGCAGGGCUGGUGGGAGACCAGUGAUGCUGUGAGAGGAAAUCCUCCUUCCUGCUCAGUCCCUGGACUUUAGGAAGUGCCUCUGCGAUGGAGUGGUCUUGCCAGGGAGAUUUAUUGAGGGUCUCAUCUGAUAAAUGAAAAGCAAGACUGUGGCAUAUCCUAAAGGUAAGCAGCUGCUGGCCACCUUGGGGUUGGAUGUGUCCGGUGACCUCGGACACUUCAUGGUGAAAUGAAAUGGGAGUUCAAAGAGCUGCUGCAGAGAGAAGAAGCAUGGGUGUCCUGUUCUGGGAGGGAGGGUCGAGGUAAGUCCACGAGCACUGAGCACAAAUAUUUAGCAGUGUGGUGUGAUGCUGUGUAUACCACCUGUUGAGUCCCAACACCACAGAGGGUUGCCAGAGUAUAGUGCCACAAGAGCACAAGCAUGGGAACUAAGUCAGUUCCUUCAUGCUAGUGCAAGCAGAAGCCUGGUUCUUCUGGGUCUAGAUGGUCCAGAUGGUGAUCCAGCCCUGCAGAGCAGCAGAGAGAGCAGCUAAGUCAAUCGCAGCUUCAACAAGCAUACUCUGCCUCCGCAUAGCAAUAUUGAAAGAAAACAUUUAAUUUAAGAAAAUUUCCACCAUCUAAAUAAAAGCUGCUCUGGGCUAGUUUAAUUUGUGUUGUAGCUGUGUGUUUAUUUAUCAUGUGACUUGAUUCUACAGCACACACUACGCAAGGGUAUUGCCACAGCAACAGCAGUAGCACAUGCCACAUUUUCUUCCUUUUGAAAUGCGAAGCCUUGUCUUGCAGAAGCUCCAACACGCCCUGGCUGAUGGAACUGCAUCCUUUUGCACGAUGGUUUAAAAAUAACACGUGCACACAGAGCGGGCUCAGCAACAAGACAUGUUUUGCCCUGGUUCUGCAGCUUCCUGAGAGCACAGACGGAUGUUUUGAGGCCAUGUCAGGGACAUGCCAGGGAAAGGAGCUAUGGAGGGGGUAGCAGAGAUGGGGCUGAUCACAGGAGGUGGAUGGAGAAAUGACUAACAGCAGACAGCUUUUGUAGGAGGCAGCUCCAGUAUCAAGUUGUUAUUACACAUACGAUUGCUGCAGGUUUCUGUGUCAUUGUUCUGGUGCUGAGUGAUUGUAUCUCCACUCACUAAAAAAAGAGAUGGCAAGAAGUUAUGCUGAUUUGAAACCUGACUCAAUGUUUUUAAAGUCAGAAGAAACAAAAGAUGGUUGCCUGCAUCUGGAUCACCUAUUGCCUGGCUUACAACAGACAGGGCUCUUUUCUUCUGGGGGAUGCUUGGGGCUCUCUGUGAUUCCAGACAUUGGUGACUUUGUCCAUCUGUUUCAUUUUUUAUUGUAGAAAAUUGAUAGGUCUUUUUAGAGCUUGACUUUCAUGAGCUCCUGUAUCAGAGUUCUCAUUUGUAGUCAUCACAGACAAACAUUCUCAAUAUUCAGUGGGAUAUGUGGUUACAGAGACCUUGCUGUGCCCAGCCUUACCAAAACUGGUUUGGGAAGCACCGAUCUAUAUUGUAUCCCCUCCUGCUUUGCGGGCCUGGUGCAAGGCAAGGUCAGCCACGGUCCCUCCUUGGCUUCCUUGGGACGUCUCCUCCAGAGUUUACCAGAUCUGAGGGCACAGAAGGAGGAGAAGCAUUUCUCCUGGCCCAGCUGCUCACUCCCUUCUAUAUUUAAGCCCAAUUCUUUUGUAAGAGAGCCGAUAGGAGUCUGGUCGGUGCCAUCCUGGCUUGUAACACAACCAAAGGAGCUGCUGUCGUCUUGGGCCCGAACCACUCCUGGAGCCAUCUCCCUCCUCACGGCUGGGAUAUGCCAGGUGGCUCUUGGCUUGGUGAACGUUUUGGUUGGCUUACCCGUUGGUUUAGAGCAGAACUGGCAAAGGCAGAGGCUGCUCAAAGCAGCUUCUGUACGAAGAGGCGUAGGAAAGUCUGACCAGCUGGGAAGGGGCGCCAGGACCUGUCACACCAGAGGGGUGUGUGACACAGCUCUGUCACUUCUGGGUGGCACAAGAAUGGCAAUGAGGGAGCAGUUGUUAUAUUAAGGAGAAUCAGAUGAAAAUAUCAGGUAGCAUUUUUCAGACCAAGCAAUAGAAGAUGCUUUUUUCCACACAACUUGUCUUGCACACAGUGCCGAAUGAAAAAUCCACUGAGAGCUGUUAAACACAGAGACACUAUCUUUGGGUCAGGAAGUAUCUGGUAUUUCUGGGGAAGUGUCACUACAGGCUUUCCUGGGGUUUAUAUCUUCCUUAGGCAUCUGUUAGUGGCUGCUGUCAGAGACAGGAUGCCUGGCUAUGGCCCUUGGUACAUUUUUAAGUAAGGCCAGACAGGUUGGCUGCCCUUGGAACAGCCUGUCCCUGACACAGGUACAACACCCUGCUUCAGAAACCACCAUCUCCCCCCAGCUCACUUGCAGUUCUCUGCCUGGGAGGAAGGUUUCCAUGCAGAAUUUUGCCCAGUGGUGGUGAGGAAGCCCCAGCCCUCGCAGAAAUCUGCACACCCUUGGAACGGGAUGGCUGUUUCUAGGGAAAAUCUCACAGGGCCACAGGGUGGGCUGUUUCUGUGUGACCUGGUCCUGGUCCAGCUAGUCUGGCCCAUAAUGUGUGAAUGGAGCACUGUUGUGCUAAUGUGACAUUUUCCCUAUGUUAACACUGUCCUGGUAUCCUCAGACAACAUUUGAAAAAAAAAAAAAAAAAAAAAAAAAAGGC
Long non-coding RNA from Cygnus olor (mute swan), 5837 nucleotides. RefSeq lists it as uncharacterized. The transcript is spliced from 11 exons. NCBI's taxonomy places the organism in Eukaryota, Metazoa, Chordata, Aves, Anseriformes, Anatidae. The record is from RefSeq and is a predicted model, not a curated record.